Molecule: ribosomal RNA, 492 nt
Filed under: uncultured bacterium
Lineage: Bacteria
Description: partial 16S ribosomal RNA
Rfam family: Bacterial small subunit ribosomal RNA
Source: RNAcentral
AGUGAACGCUGGCGGUAGGCCUAACACAUGCAAGUCGAACGGCAGCACAGUAAGAGCUUGCUCUUACGGGUGGCGAGUGGCGGACGGGUGAGGAAUACAUCGGAAUCUACUUUUUCGUGGGGGAUAACGUAGGGAAACUUACGCUAAUACCGCAUACGACCUACGGGUGAAAGCAGGGGAUCUUCGGACCUUGCGCGAUUGAAUGAGCCGAUGUCGGAUUAGCUAGUUGGCGGGGUAAAGGCCGACCAAGGCGACGAUCCGUAGCUGGUCUGAGAGGAUGAUCAGCCACACUGGAACUGAGCCACGGUCCAGACUCCUACGGGAGGCAGCAGUGGGGAAUAUUGGACAAUGGGCGCAAGCCUGAUCCAGCCAUACCGCGUGGGUGAAGAAGGCCUUCGGGUUGUAAAGCCCUUUUGUUGGGAAAGAAAAGCAGCAGGUUAAUACCCCGCUGUUCUGACGGUACCCAAAGAAUAAGCACCGGCUAACUUCGUG